GAUGAACGCUGGCGGCGUGCCUAACACAUGCAAGUCGAGCGAACAGGCGCUGCUCUUGUGCCUUGCACGAUAGGCGAACGCGUGAGUAACACGCGUGUAACCCCUCCUUGACUGAGGGAGAACACCACGGAACACCGGCUCUUAUCGCGUAGGAGCUCCUGCUGCACGGGGGGGGUUGGUAAGAUUCGGCGGUUGGGGCUGGUCUCGCGGCUUAUCAGCUUGUUGGUGGGGUAGGGGCUUCCCAAGGCUUUGAGGGGUAGCCGGCCUGAGAGGGUGACCGGCCACAUUGGGACUGCGAUACGGCCCAGACUCCUACGGGAGGCAGCAGUGGGGAAUAUUGCACAAUGGGCGGAAGCCUGAUGCAGCAACGCCGCGUGCGGGAUGACGGCCUUCGGGUUGUAAACCGCUUUCGCCUGUGACGAAGCGUGAGUGACGGUAAUGGGUAAAGAAGCACCGGCUAACUACGUG
RNAcentral lists this ribosomal RNA (468 nucleotides) under uncultured bacterium. Its description in RNAcentral is "partial 16S ribosomal RNA". It matches the Rfam family "Bacterial small subunit ribosomal RNA", at positions 28 to 507 of the family's 1533-position model. The record is from RNAcentral.